Molecule: long non-coding RNA, 577 nt
Filed under: Homo sapiens (human)
Lineage: Eukaryota; Metazoa; Chordata; Mammalia; Primates; Hominidae
Description: long intergenic non-protein coding RNA 1122
Source: RNAcentral
AGGAAAAUUGAAAGCAGUUAAGAACCUGCCCCCUACCGUGGAGUUCUUGGUGCCGUGAGUUGGAGUUCUUGGUGCCUGGGUGCGUCCCCAAGGCCACUGGUCUUCAGAUCUUUCUUACUUGAGAAGAACGCCUCCGCCUCCUGGCUCUCCCACCAGUGGUAUUGCCACCACCACACACCAGCAUAAAGCACAGAUUGCUGCCCAGCUCCUUGGAGAGGGGCCAGUGCAUUUGUCAGGAAUUGAAAAGUUUUGGAGCCAGUUCGAGGACUUUCUCCUGCACAAAGUGUUGGCUGGAAGCAUGUUUGUCUCUCUAAUUUAUCGUUUCACUUGGAAAGGUUGAUACAUUGAUGAGCUACGAAAAGCAAGAGGGAACAUGCCCAUCUACUAAGAGGAGAAGAGAGCCUAAAACAUACACAUUCACUAAGGAAGAGAAAGCCAAAUGUGAGAAGCAAUAACACAUGGUUUGCCAAAGAAUCUGCAUUGAAUAAUACUGGUGGUGACCACAAGAACAUGCCUCUCUGACUGCAAGGAACAAGAGUGACCCAGGGUUUCAGCUGCUGCCUUGGAAAUUCAUCAC